Molecule: ribosomal RNA, 279 nt
Filed under: uncultured bacterium
Lineage: Bacteria
Description: partial 16S ribosomal RNA
Rfam family: Bacterial small subunit ribosomal RNA
Source: RNAcentral
UGCCAGCCGCCGCGGUAAUACGGAGGGUGCAAGCGUUGCUCGGAAUCACUGGGCGUAAAGCGUACGCAGGCGGUUUAUCAAGUCGGGUGUGAAAUCCCGGAGCUCAACUCCGGAACUGCGCCCGAAACUGGUAGACUUGAAUACGGGAGAGGUAAGCGGAAUUCCUGGUGUAGAGGUGAAAUUCGUAGAUAUCAGGAGGAACACCAGUGGCGAAAGCGGCUCCCUGGCCAAAGACUGACGCUCAUGUGCGAAAGUGUGGGUAGCGAACAGGAUUAGAUA